Molecule: ribosomal RNA, 433 nt
Filed under: uncultured bacterium
Lineage: Bacteria
Description: partial 16S ribosomal RNA
Rfam family: Bacterial small subunit ribosomal RNA
Source: RNAcentral
GACGAACGCUGGCGGCAUGCCUAACACAUGCAAGUCGAACGAGACCUUCGGGUCUAGCGGCGCACGGGUGCGUAACGCGUGGGAACCUGCCCUUAGGUUCGGAAUAACUCCCCGAAAGGGGUGCUAAUACCGGAUAAUGUCUUCGGACCAAAGAUUUAUCGCCUUUGGAUGGGCCCGCGUUGGAUUAGCUAGUUGGUAGGGUAAAAGCCUACCAAGGCGACGAUCCAUAGCUGGUCUGAGAGGAUGAUCAGCCACACUGGGACUGAGACACGGCCCAGACUCCUACGGGAGGCAGCAGUGGGGAAUAUUGGACAAUGGGCGAAAGCCUGAUCCAGCAAUGCCGCGUGAGUGAUGAAGGCCUUAGGGUUGUAAAGCUCUUUUACCCGGGAUGAUAAUGACAGUACCGGGAGAAUAAGCUCCGGCUAACUCCGUG